Triticum aestivum (bread wheat) is the source of this 731-nucleotide long non-coding RNA. RefSeq lists it as uncharacterized. The transcript has 2 exons. The record is from RefSeq and is a predicted model, not a curated record. NCBI's taxonomy places the organism in Eukaryota, Viridiplantae, Streptophyta, Magnoliopsida, Poales, Poaceae.
GUGUCGCAGUCUCGCUCACCAGCCAGAAUACACCCAAGUUUUGCUCCAUCUCCUCCCGGCUCGGCGGGGUUCCGGCCGCCGUCGCUCCCUCUCUCUCGGCCGACGAGAUCCCAACAUCCCUCCUACGGGCGCGCGGCGACUCGGCGAGAGAACGACCACGCAAGAGAACCAAUGAAGAGCAGAAGAUUAUAAGAAGACAUAUGCAAGUCAGCAGAUCUGAAGGAGUAAGAGCCAGAGAUGGAGAGCAAAGCUAUUUGAAUUAGAAUCAUUAAACUAAGGAAGAGAAUUACAUGGAGGAUGCAGAUCUCUGUGAUUGGAAGGAUCGAUGAUCAUCCAUUAAUCGCUUGCCGCACCCUUGGAAUCUGUAAGACACCGAAACGGCGGCGUUGUUCAUGGAUUGUGAAUUUGGGAGGAGAGGAGUCACCGAAUACGGAGGAGAACGAGGGACUCGUGGAUCCACUGGUGGAAACCGAUUUGACUUCUUUGUGAGUAUUGCUCGUACGUCCACCAGUUUAAUGGGCUUUACACUUGCACGGUUGCACCUUAGGCCCUUUUAUAUUUUUUCCUCUAGAUUUCUUCCGCCUGAGAUAAAAAAACACACUGCGUUGUACUACCUGGUUUGGGGCCCCUACCUCUUGGGGGCCCAGGGCGGGUGCCCCGCUGCCCCGGCCUAUGGACCGGCCCUGUAAGCUGUAGAUGUUGCAUAAUCAGUUGUUAAAGAGAUCCUCUCA